CCUACGGGAGGCUGCAGUGGGGAAUAUUGGGCAAUGGGCGCAAGCCUGACCCAGCAACGCCGCGUGAAGGAAGAAGGCUUUCGGGUUGUAAACUUCUUUUGUCAGGGACGAAGCAAGUGACGGUACCUGACGAAUAAGCCACGGCUAACUACUUGCCAGCAGCCGCGGUAAUACGUAGGUGGCAAGCGUUAUCCGGAUUUACUGGGUGUAAAGGGCGUGUAGGCGGGGGAGCAAGUCAGAUGUGAAAACCACGGGCUCAACCUGUGGCCUGCAUUUGAAACUGUUUUUCUUGAGUACUGGAGGGGCAGACGGAAUGCCUAGGGUAGCGGUGAAAUGCGUAGAGAUUAGGAGGAACACCAGUGGCGAAGGCGGUCUGCUGGACAGCAACUGACGCUGAGGCGCGAAAGCGUGGGGAGCAAACAGGAUGAGAUACCCCAGUAGUC
RNAcentral lists this ribosomal RNA (443 nucleotides) under uncultured bacterium. RNAcentral describes it as "partial 16S ribosomal RNA". It matches the Rfam family "Bacterial small subunit ribosomal RNA", at positions 338 to 795 of the family's 1533-position model. The record is from RNAcentral.